This 253-nucleotide ribosomal RNA is filed under the name uncultured bacterium. RNAcentral's name for it is "partial 16S ribosomal RNA". It matches the Rfam family "Bacterial small subunit ribosomal RNA", at positions 524 to 776 of the family's 1533-position model. The record is from RNAcentral.
UACAGAGGUCCCAAGCGUUGUUCGGAUUCACUGGGCGUAAAGGGUGCGUAGGUGGUGAGGUAAGUCGGAUGUGAAAUCUCCGGGCUCAACCCGGAAAUGGCAUUGGAAACUACCUUGCUGGAGGAUUUGAGGGGGGAUUGGAAUACUUGGUGUAGCAGUGAAAUGCGUAGAUAUCGGGAAGAACACCCGUGGCGAAGGCGGUUCUCUGGGACGGUACUGACGCUGAGACGCGAAAGCGUGGGGAGCGAACAGG